CUAUGUGUUGUUGGGUAGGGGAGCGUUCUGUAAGCCUGUGAAGGUGGCCUGUGAGGGUUGCUGGAGGUAUCAGAAGUGCGAAUGCUGACAUAAGUAACGAUAAAGCGGGUGAAAAGCCCGCUCGCCGGAAGACCAAGGGUUCCUGUCCAACGUUAAUCGGGGCAGGGUGAGUCGACCCCUAAGGCGAGGCCGAAAGGCGUAGUCGAUGGGAAACAGGUUAAUAUUCCUGUACUUGGUGUUACUGCGAAGGGGGGACGGAGAAGGCUAUGUUGGCCGGGCGACGGUUGUCCCGGUUUAAGCGUGUAGGCUGGUUUUCCAGGCAAAUCCGGAAAACCAAGGCUGAGGCGUGAUGACGAGGCACUACGGUGCUGAAGCGACAAAUGCCCUGCUUCCAGGAAAAGCCUCUAAGCAUCAGGUAACAUCAAAUCGUACCCCAAACCGACACAGGUGGUCAGGUAGAGAAUACCAAGGCGCUUGAGAGAACUCGGGUGAAGGAACUAGGCAAAAUGGU
This 511-nucleotide ribosomal RNA is filed under the name Escherichia coli. RNAcentral's name for it is "partial 23S ribosomal RNA". It matches the Rfam family "Bacterial large subunit ribosomal RNA", at positions 1214 to 1726 of the family's 2925-position model. The record is from RNAcentral. Lineage: Bacteria; Pseudomonadati; Pseudomonadota; Gammaproteobacteria; Enterobacterales; Enterobacteriaceae.